RNAcentral lists this transfer RNA (71 nucleotides) under Ophiopholis aculeata (daisy brittle star). RNAcentral's name for it is "tRNA-Tyr". It matches the Rfam family "tRNA". Rfam says of the family: Transfer RNA (tRNA) molecules are approximately 80 nucleotides in length. Lineage: Eukaryota; Metazoa; Echinodermata; Ophiuroidea; Amphilepidida; Ophiactidae. The record is from RNAcentral.
UAUAAGGUGGCCGAGUGUCUAGGCGUUGGUUUGUAAAACCAAGUAGAAAAAUUAAAAUUUUUUUCUUAUAA